UACGGGGGGGGCAAGCGUUGUUCGGAAUUACUGGGCGUAAAGGGCGCGUAGGCGGUUGGAUAAGUCAGCUGUGAAAACCACGGGCUUAACUCGUGGCCUGCAGUUGAGACUGUCUGGCUUGAGUGUGGGAGAGGAGAGUGGAAUUCCAGGUGUAGCGGUGAAAUGCGUAGAUAUCUGGAGGAACACCGGUGGCGAAGGCGGCAUCCUGGACCGGUAUUGACGCUGAUGCGCGAAAGCCAGGGGAGCAAACGGG
This 253-nucleotide ribosomal RNA is filed under the name uncultured bacterium. RNAcentral describes it as "partial 16S ribosomal RNA". It matches the Rfam family "Bacterial small subunit ribosomal RNA", at positions 524 to 776 of the family's 1533-position model. The record is from RNAcentral.